CUACCUUGGGGUGCUUUCUCUGUUGCCCCAAACAACACUGCAUUAUCUCCAUGUUGAUAAGAGUGUCUGCUACCCGAUUUUUUAAUUUUUACUUUUAGAGAGAGAGGAAGGGCGGGAGAAAGAGAGGGAGGGAAACAUCAAUGUGUGGUUGCCUCUCAUGCGUCCCCUACUAGGGACCUGGCUAGCAACCCAUGCACAUGCCCUGCUGGGAAACAAAACAGAGACCCUGUGGUUUGCAGGCCAGCACUCAAUCUGCUGAGCCACACCAUCCAGGGCAUGCUACCCAAUUUUUUUUUAAAUCUCCUUUCUCUUCUCAUUCAUAGAAAGUUUCUUUGUUAACAACGCCAGAAACCCAGGAACCCCAGCCUCCCUCCGUCUCAUGCGCCCCAACCUGUCAUCUGGUCCUAUAAGUUCUUCCUCCCAAAUCGUUCUGAAUCCAUUUGUACCUCUUCCUCCCCACCCUCUUACCACUGCCCUGGCCCAAGGCACCAAGAGCUCUCACGAUGAAUUCUGUAAUCCAGUUGGUCUCCUUGUGCCCUCCACCCCAGCCCCUUCUAACUGGCUCUCCGUACCUUCUAGAAAAGAUCUUUUCAAAACGUGACUCUCGGGUGUUCAGCCUGGUCCCCCUGGUUUUUCUUUGAACAAGCACUGUGAGCAUCUCCUGGGAGCCGGCUAUGCAUGCACAGUUGGUUUCUCCCCUGGACCCUGCAGGGCUGUGUCCUGACCCUACUGAGGGUUCACUCUCCUGAGACCCCCGCUCCUGAGGGCCCGCUCCUUCCUCCCAGGCCACCACACCAGCCGUCCCCUCCUCUCGCCUCACUCCCCCAGCUCAACUCUCAACUCUCAGCUCCCACCUCCUCACCUAGUUAUGUUCCUGUUACGUAUUCGUGGUACCAGGGACUUUUUCUUCACUUCAUUUUUAUUUUUAUCAAGGUAGUGCAUGCUCAUGGUUUAGAGUCAAAUGGGUCUACAAGGUCUAUUCCAAAAAAAACCCCAAAAACCUGAUAUCCUUUUCCCCAGAGGCAUCUACUUUCAACUCUCUGCUGGUGCCUUUGGGAUUUACCUUCAUUUGCGUUGCUGCUUCCUAAUCUUUCAGUUUCGCAUUAUCCGUUGACUUCUCCCUGUGGGGGAAGGUGGUCGGUAUGAGCCCGUUCCCUCCUUCUGCCCGAUUGACGCACGAGGACCUUCCUAGCCUGUCCCCCUUCUGUUCUCUGCCAAGCCCUUGUGGAAAGCUUGAUUCCUCUCCCUGAACAGCUUUCUGUUUUCCCUGGAGUUUGCUUUGUUUUCAGCAUACUUGCCACAAAUUCUACCCCAGCUUUCUGCCAGUUCUCCAAGUCCCCUCGGGAGGUUUAGGCACGUGGAGCCAUCACCUCCCUGAAGGAAGGCAUCGCACAGUCUUCGCACCGCGCAGGCCUGGACCAGUUGUACCCUCCGCCGACUGCAGAGUCCUUCCUGAGACUUCCUGUCACGGUCAUCCCGGCGUGCCCCCUUGCCUUGCUCUCGUGUUCUCCCAUCCCACGUCUUCCUCUUUCUCACUUUACUCCCUCAUUUAGAUUGAGUACAGCUAACCUGUGAAUAACAUGGGUUAGAACAGUGUGGGUUUACUUACACAUGGAGGUUUUUCAUCUUGUAAACAGACCAUCUAAACCCACAGUAUCAAUACUGUCCAACCAGCACGGUCCAAUACCGUAAAUCUAUUUUCUCUCUCUUCUCUUUUCCUAAUAAUAUUUUCUUUUCUCUAGCUUACUUUAUUAUAAGCGUAUAGUAGGUAAUACAUUUAACAUACAAAAUAUGUGGUAACUGACUGUUUACGUCAUCUGUAAGACUUCUGGUCAGCAAUAGGCCACUAGUAAUUAAGUUUUGGGGGAGUCAAAAGUUAUACACAGAUUUUUAGCUGCUGAGGUCUUGGUGCCCCUAACCCCUGUGUUUUCUGGGUCAGCUGAUAGCUCCCUGAGAAAGAACACAUAGGAGAUGACCUUUUGGGGACCUUGCAUAGUUGAAAAUACGUUCUUCCUACAACUUAGUUGAUAGUUUGGUUGGGUAUAGAAUUCUAGGUUAGAAGUCGUUUUCCUUUGGAAGUUUAAACACCUCAUUCCGUUGUCUUCUGGCUCCAGGUGUUUUUCUCUGGAAGGUUGUAGGAGAUUCUCUUUUUCUCUAAUUCUUUGAAAUUUCAUAGGAUGUGCCAUUAUGUGUCUCUAUUUUAAUCUGUUAUUCUGAGCACUCCGUGGGUUCUUUCAGUCUAGACAUUUGGGUCCUUCACAUCUGGGAAAUUUUCUUAUUGUUUCAUUAGUGAUUUUCUCCCCUCUUCUUCUCUGUCCUUUCUUCUUGAUAUCCCACUAUUAGGAUGUUGAAACCUGGGCCAAAUCCCGAGUUUUUUUUUAAAUGUAUUUCCUUCUAUUUUCAUUGCUCUGUCUUUUCUCAAUUUUCUGGUAGAUUUUAUCUAGUUCGUCAUUCAGUCUUUGGUUUCUGCUCUCCUGUUUUGAACUUAUUAAAGCGCUUUUGGUCUGAAAGUUCCUGUUUUUAUCACAUCCUGUUUUUAUUUAACAGUGGCAGUAUCUACUCAUCUCUGAAAAUAUUAAGUAAUAUUUUUUUUCUCCCUGCAUAGGCCCUGCUCAUUCCAGUUGGUCUUUUUUUCCCCUGAUGGAUUGUAUUUUAAGAAUUGGGGGGUUCAAAAGCUGAUUGCAAUCUCAAAAUUUGUGGGAAGGGCUCUUCCUCUGGGCUCCGUGAUAGGGUGACCCAGGUUAGCUAUUCACUGAGUAAUCCCCCACGGUACUGUCUUCAGGUCAUUUACUUCGGACUGGUUAGCUUCUCCAGAGAAGAGUAUUCUAAUCUCCUGCCAAGAAGAGAGAGAGAGAGAACAAAAUACUGAUGUUUACUUAAUCCCUCUGUUUUGGACACUACUUGCCUUUAUUUGUCCUGGUUUUCCAAAGGCCAGAGAUGCUCUGUUUAACUUUCUGUGAUGAAUGAGCCUGAAGCCUUCUGCCGGGGCAGGAGGGGCACGUCCCAGCCUCUUACAGUAGACGUGGAAUCUGGGCUUCUAACUGCUUCCUGAUCAGACUCUCAGCCCAUCCUUCUUGUUUGUCAGCCCUUCCUGCUUCCCCACCAUCAGAGUUGCUCAGUGCUCCUGGCUCCUGAGCUUUCGACGGGGGGUCUAUGGUGAAGAGUGGGGUGCCUCCUGGCCUCCUUUGCUGCUGGGGGGACUCGGUUUCCUCGGUCCUCUAAGAUACCUACAUAUGUCCCUUGGCUCUCCAGCCUCCUGGGUGUUGUUACUCUUGUCCCUUUCUCGGUGCCCCAUCCUUGAUGGGUAAUUUCCUUUACAGAAAAAUCCCUUUACUGACCUCCUGGUGGGGUUUCAGGAAAGAGCGAAGGUGCGAGUCCAAUCUGCCACCUUCACCCAGAAGCUCCUCUCAUUUGUCACAUUUCUUGUUUCAUGUCCUUUGGAUUUGUCUGCCUCAUCCAGUAGACGGUAAGCUCCAUGAGGCCAGUCUGGGUGUUAUUCAUUUAUUGUGCCCAUCUUCAUCUCCACCCCUAUUUUUUAACAUGAAAAAUCGUCAUCGUGAUAAAACAUACGCAACAUAAAAUUUAUUACUUUAACCAUUGGUUAGUGUAUGAUUUGGUGACAUUCAACACCUUCACAAAGUUGUAUAACAUCACCACUACCUGUACCCAAAAGUUUUCCUCAUCUCCAACAAAAACUCUGAAACUCUGCCUCUUCCCUCACCCCGAUAGCCUCUAUUCCACUUUCUCUGCCUACGAACUUGACUACUCUAGGUAACUCCCAGAAGUGGAAUCACAUAGUCUCGGUUCUUUUGUGUCUGGCUUAUUUCACUGAAUCUAGUGUUUCCGAAGCCCAUCCAUGUUGUUGCAUGCGUCAGAAUUCCUUUCCUUUUUAAUGGCUGCCUACUAUGUUAUUGUAUGAUAUACCCCAUUUUCUUCAUCCCCCACCCUGUUUUAUCUUUAGCGACUUGAGGAGUCCUUGGUGCAUGACAGACACUGAAACAUACUGGAUGGUUCCACCAGCUUCCUCCCUCUUUGCACCUGGACAGCUCCCCUCGUCCAUCGGGGCCUGGCACAGGCACUGCCUCCUUGUGGGGACCCCAGGGCCUCCCCAACGCAGAAGCAAGCGUUCCGUGGUGUCCUGCAGCCAGACUGGACUGUAACUGAGUCCUCUGUCCUGGCUGGCAGCUCCUGAGGGCAUGGCCAGGUCUAGAUUUACAGCCUGCCUCUGGGGGUGUCGGUUCAGUGAAUAGGGAACCCCCUUCCCUCUGGUUUGAAACCCUGGUCGGGACUUAGCAGCCAGCUUCCCCCAACCUCCAUUCCACAUCCUUCUUUUGAACAUCUGUUUACGUUACAGUAGUUGUGUAAACAGGAAAAGAAGCCAUUAAAAUGAAAAUGGAGAAAUUUGGAGAGUUUAUCAAUCUGAAAUGAAAUCAGAAAGGGAGGUUUUAUCCUCUUGAGGCAUUUGGUCUCUCCUAAUGCUCUGACAGCUGAGAACGAAUGGUCAUUAAGAAUCAUUUUCGUUACCAACAGCUUUUUUGUUGGCUUCCUUAAAACAGUUCAUCUCUCUUCACUGAAGAGGCGCCUGGGGAGUCUUGAGCCUGGUGCCAAGACCCCCUGGGGCUGCUGCUGGCAGAGCCUGGUGCCCACAUGGUGUGUAGACGGUGGUCCCAUAAGAUCAUCAUGCAGCUGAAGAGUCCCUGUUGCCUCAUGAUGUCACAGCCCUCGUGACAUCACAGUGCAACACCUGAGUCACAUUCCUGUGAUGAUCGAUGCUGGUGGGAACAAACCUGAGCUUCCAGCUCUACAAAAGCAUCGCAUAUACCGUAUGCGUGAUAUAUAAUACUGGUAAUGCUAAUAGAUGGCUAUUGUUCCGAUUCAUGUGUAUUCUAUUAUUCUAUGCUUUUAUUGUUUUUAGACUGCACUCUUUCUGUUCAUUAAGAAAAGUGGGCUGUAAAAUGCAAUGUCACGUUACGGCGGCAAUGGCCUCAUACAUUCCGUGUUUACCGCGUCCUUUGAUUGCACCAUUUUCUCACAUGACUGAUUUGAUGUCGUCACUUUGCACAGUAACAGGCUGCACAGGGACCGCACGUGAGUGGAGUCGCACGGCAGUUGUCCUCUUGUGACCAUCUUCUUUCACUGAAUGUAAUGGCCUCACAGUUCGUCCGUGUUGCAACAAGUGACAGAAUUUCCUGCCUUUUUGAGGCUGAUUAAUGCUCCAUUGUGUGUGCAAACCGCGCUUUGUUCGGCUGUUCCUCCGUCAGUGGGCACUUGGGGUACUUCGUCUUUCUGCUCUGGUGAAUACUGCCGCUGGGAACACGAGUGUGCGAAUAGCUGUUCAAGUCCGUGCUGCAAUCGUUUGUAAGACUGUAAGUGAGGGCCCUGGCCUGGCAGCCGUGUAGGCGGGAGUGCCAGCCUGUCCGCCAGAAUACUGCGGGUUCGAUGACCAGUCAGGGCCCAUACAGGAGGAACCGAUGUUUCUCUCUCACACUGAUGUUUCUCUCUCUUUUUCUCCCUUCCUCUCUCUCUAAAAUCAAUAAACAUAUCCUCAGGCGAGGCGUAAAAAAAUAAUAGCAACUUUUUUUUUAAAAGACGAUAGGUAAGACAUUGGGUGCAGCUGCCUAUUUUGCUGCAAAGCCCAAAAGUGUAGGCCUGACCUUCGUUCACAGCCAGGCACAGGGCUCGGAAGGCCGCCCGAGGCACUCAGGGCCACGUGCUCUCCUGGGGACCCUCUGCUGCCAGGCCGAGGAGCACCCCUCAGAGGCCUGGAAAGUGAGGUGUGAGCCUGACCUUUCUC
Long non-coding RNA from Artibeus jamaicensis (Jamaican fruit-eating bat), 5794 nucleotides. RefSeq lists it as uncharacterized. Lineage: Eukaryota; Metazoa; Chordata; Mammalia; Chiroptera; Phyllostomidae. The transcript is spliced from 3 exons. The record is from RefSeq and is a predicted model, not a curated record.